GGGGCAUUAGCUCAGCUGGGAGAGCGCUACACUGGCAGUGUAGAGGUCAGCGGUUCGAUCCCGCUAUGCUCCACCA
Molecule: transfer RNA, 76 nt
Filed under: Brevibacillus brevis
Lineage: Bacteria; Bacillati; Bacillota; Bacilli; Caryophanales; Paenibacillaceae
Also listed under: 72 other names
Description: tRNA-Ala(ggc)
Rfam family: tRNA
About the family: Transfer RNA (tRNA) molecules are approximately 80 nucleotides in length. Their secondary structure includes four short double-helical elements and three loops (D, anti-codon, and T loops). Further hydrogen bonds mediate the characteristic L-shaped molecular structure. tRNAs have two regions of fundamental functional importance: the anti-codon, which is responsible for specific mRNA codon recognition, and the 3' end, to which the tRNAs corresponding amino acid is attached (by aminoacyl-tRNA synthetases). tRNAs cope with the degeneracy of the genetic code in two manners: having more than one tRNA (with a specific anti-codon) for a particular amino acid; and 'wobble' base-pairing, i.e. permitting non-standard base-pairing at the 3rd anti-codon position.
Source: RNAcentral